Molecule: transfer RNA, 69 nt
Filed under: Arctocephalus forsteri (New Zealand fur seal)
Lineage: Eukaryota; Metazoa; Chordata; Mammalia; Carnivora; Otariidae
Also listed under: 2 other names
Description: tRNA-His
Rfam family: tRNA
About the family: Transfer RNA (tRNA) molecules are approximately 80 nucleotides in length.
Source: RNAcentral
GUAAAUAUAGUUUAAGAAAAACAUUAGAUUGUGAAUCUAAUAAUAUGAGCUCAAGCCUCCUUAUUUACC